Molecule: long non-coding RNA, 218 nt
Organism: Zea mays
Lineage: Eukaryota; Viridiplantae; Streptophyta; Magnoliopsida; Poales; Poaceae
Exons: 3
Source: RefSeq, a predicted model, not a curated record
CCACCGACAUUAUACUCAGCCUCACUGGUCAUAUCUGCCAUUGAGCCACAGCUAAACUCCUCAUCGAUGGCUGAUUCAUUGAAAGAGUCAUUAGCUGAAUUGUAUGUGAUCAAUGGUCAAUACGAAAAGGCACUUUCUCUUUAUGCUGAACUCCUGAAGCCAGAAGUAUUCGAGUUUAUUGAGAAAUACAACUUGUAUGAUGCUAUUCAUGAUAAGAU